Molecule: transfer RNA, 82 nt
Filed under: Violaceomyces palustris
Lineage: Eukaryota; Fungi; Basidiomycota; Ustilaginomycetes; Violaceomycetales; Violaceomycetaceae
Description: tRNA-Pro
Rfam family: tRNA
About the family: Transfer RNA (tRNA) molecules are approximately 80 nucleotides in length.
Source: RNAcentral
GGCCGCUUAGUUUAGGGGUAUAAUACUCGCUUUGGGUUGACUCGAAUGCGAGAGGUCAUCGGUUCGAAUCCGGUAGCGGCCC